RNAcentral lists this ribosomal RNA (497 nucleotides) under uncultured bacterium. RNAcentral's name for it is "partial 16S ribosomal RNA". It matches the Rfam family "Bacterial small subunit ribosomal RNA", at positions 28 to 507 of the family's 1533-position model. The record is from RNAcentral.
GAUGAACGCUGGCGGCGUGCCUAAUACAUGCAAGUCGAGCGAACAGAUGAGGAGCUUGCUCCUCUGACGUUAGCGGCGGACGGGUGAGUAACACGUGGAUAACCUACCUAUAAGACUGGGAUAACUUCGGGAAACCGGAGCUAAUACCGGAUAAUAUAUUGAACCGCAUGGUUCAAUAGUGAAAGACGGUUUUGCUGUCACUUAUAGAUGGAUCCGCGCCGCAUUAGCUAGUUGGUAAGGUAACGGCCUACCAAGGCAACGAUGCGUAGCCGACCUGAGAGGGUGAUCGCCCACACUGGAACUGAGACACGGUCCAGACUCCUACGGGAGGCAGCAGUAGGGAAUCUUCCGCAAUGGGCGAAAGCCUGACGGAGCAACGCCGCGUGAGUGAUGAAGGUCUUCGGAUCGUAAAACUCUGUUAUUAGGGAAGAACAAAUGUGUAAGUAACUAUGCACGUCUUGACGGUACCUAAUCAGAAAGCCACGGCUAACUACGUG